AGACCACCCCAAGGACACGAUCCAAAUUCAUUGCAUUCUAAGUGUGAGUCCCUCAACUGUCAAAUUAGCAUAAAACUAACCUCUCACAGCUGUACUUCUUAUAUAUCACCUAAAAUUAGUGCCUGCUGGAAGUGUCUUUAAUAUCUAAGAGAACAUAGCAUACAACUGUCUUAAAUUUUGUGUUCUAAUGAGUAUCAGCAACUACACAUUUCAGUUGAUAUUUUAGAAAACAAGUAUGGUGUUGAAAAUGAUCAAGACUAUGAUAACAUAACAUACCACUGGCUUGCUAGAACUAACUUUAACCUUUUCACCAUAUUUUUUGCAUCAACAAAUGCAGUCAUUCAGAAUUGGGGCUUUGAGUACAGAAUAGGCAACAAAGAAGUGAGACAGGUAUGCCAAUAGGUGUUCUUAGGAAAGAGUUAGGUAAUUGGAAUAAGCAAUCUAUUAAUUAAAAAUGCUUUCCAAAAUGAACAAUGUGAUCUGACUUUCUUGCUGAGUUAUUACCAGGUUCUUUUCAGUUCUUAAGGCAUUUUCGUUACUCUGUUUAACAACAAAUGUGGGCCAGUUGCUGUGAGUUAAUUGAAAAGGAUUGUUUUCUAGUUGCCAAGAAACGGGGCUUUCUUACAUUAUGCAGGCCAUUAUGUGCACAGAUCAAGCUUCCUGAUUUUCUUUCAGGGUUUAAGAAUAUAGGCUGCUGUGAUUUAGUUGUCCCUUGAGGAGAGGAGCACAUAUCAAGAAGGCUUUCAGGAGUGUUGUUCCAUUUCAAUUUACCAGGCAGAGUUAGUGAUAGAGAGACAGAGAGAAAGGUCUUCCUUUUCCUUUUCCGUUGGUUCACCCCUCAGUGGCUGCUGUGGCCGGCGUGCUGCGCCGAUCCGAGGCCAGGAGCCAGGUGCUUCCUCCUGGUCUCCCAUGUGGGUCUCCAAGUGCUUGGGCCAUCCUCCACUGCCUUCCCGGGCCACAGCAGAGAGCUAGACUGGAAGAGGAGCAACCGGGACAAGAACCUGGGGUGCCAGCGCCACAGGCGGAGGAUUAGCCAAGUGAGCCACGGCACCAGACUACUACUUUUAGUUUUAUUAAGACUAUACACUUGCUUCCAGCUCCCUGCUGAUGCACCUGGGAAAGCAGUGGAAGAAGGUAUAAGUGCAUGGGCCCCUGCUAACAACAUGGGAGACGGAUGGAUUUGCAGGCUCCUGGCCCAGGUGCAGACUUUGAAGUCAUUUGGGGAGUGAAUCAGUGGAUGAAAAAUCUUUUUCUCUCUCAAUUUCGUCUCUUUGUCUCUCUCUGCUUGAAACUCUGCCUUUCAGAUAAUUAAAAUAAAAAAUUUUUAAAAUAUAUUGGAAAAUAAAUUAGCUGUUAUUCUAAACUGCAUUCUCUGUUAGUGUACUACAAUUACGUGGGUCUGCCCUGCCCUCUGUUUGGAUAAACUUAAGAACCUUCAAGAAUAUAAUGAUUAUCUGCAGUUACAAAUACAUUGCAGUGUGUAUCUGUUGGCUGAGUGUGAAUCAUUUUGGGUUGUUUUGCUAUGGUGUUAAAUGCUAGUGUAAGCUGAAAGAAAAUGGAUUUAUGAUAAUAAUAUCUUUACUGUAAAUACUGAUCAAACAAAUCCACAUCAGAGACUGUCCCUACUGUUAGCAAAAAGCAUACAUGAAGUGACAUAAUGACUGAGAUGGUUUAGAGAGAACACUUUAAAAAAUGUGGUGUAUCUUUAAUGUCUUUAAGAAUUGUUUUGCUCACCAAGGACAGAGAACAAGGAGGGAGGUAGAGAGAAAAUGUUGACUGGCCUUAUCUAACAAGAAACUGAAAUAAUGUUACCAAGCUUACAUUUUCACUCUAAAAUAAUGUAUAUUCAAAUCAUUGUCUUCUGUUCUGAAAUGUGAAAGUUAUUCAUCAUAAAUUGAUUUCAGAGUCCCUAGGGGAAAAGCAAUUAACGUGUUUUCUAGGUUUUCACCUGACAAAUUGUACAACAGGGAGAUAAAAUCUGGGAAGUUGCUCAACUGAACUAAUUUGUUUAACACCUGAUAUUAAAUAUUUGAUUAAAUUUUGCUUACCAAACUCAGUUUGGAAAUAGUUGAAAAUGUUCAUUUCAGCAUAUCUCAGACAUGAAAUGUGCUUUCAGAUUGUCACUAGAUUGAUCUAUAUAGAAAAAGGUAUAUAACUUUAGGAUAUGUCAGAUUUAAUACUGUUGGUAUCUGGGAGUUUUCUGAGGCAUUUGGAGGUGCUGAGGCAUCUAGAAUGAGCUAUGGAGUGGCAGUAAGAAUUCCACUGGCUUCUGGUUCCAGUUCUACCAAUAACUAGUUUGGUGAGCUUGGGCAGGUCAUGUGAUCUCCUUUAGCUUUGGAUUUCUUUCUUUGUAAAGGAGGGGCUGGGCUCUGAUUUCUAUGGUCAAUUAAAUAUCUAAGGUCAAUAAAAUUUCUAAGGUCAAUUAAUGAAAUCAUGUGAUCUUUCUAGAUGUUUCUUUCAAACUACACUUUGCUUAUUUAUUUGUGUCUUACAGGUAUUACUGGACCUUAUCCAGUCAUAGCUUCAGCAAACAAUACUGCCACAGAAAGGCUACUUGCGUCAUUCAAUUAUAUUUUUUCACACUCAAACAAUACCUGGCAAAUAAAGAAAGUUUUCUAAAUUGUGACUGGCACAAUCAUACUUGGUCAGCUGUGCUGAGAAUUGAAGCAAACUAUAUAAAUAUUUAGGGCACAGAAUGAAGAUGAGGCCUGAUCUGCUUUUACCUGCAUGGUGAACCAAACAUGUUAUAAAUUGUGGACAUGGGACAAAGGCCAAAAUCCAGCAACUUCAGUACUCUCAUUUGGCUUUUCCACUAGAAUGCACAAAUACACCACAACUUUUUCUAGCUCUCUUGCUCCUGAAUCUUCUAUUGCAUUUACCACCAUACUCCAAUUCUAUUCCUGGGCUCCCUUGUUUCUUUGACAUUAUCCACUCUUCUACUGUGUCUCUCAUUCUCAUUCCCAUAGCUUAACUUUAGCCACAAUAAAAUAUGUAUUUUUAAAUCUUGUUGUUUUUUGUAUACUGAAUUUUCCUCUCAGAAUUUUCUUAAUUUGUCAUUAAUAUAUGGACAGCUCCCAAAUUUAUAUUUUUACCUUGUAUCACUUUUGUACAGAUAAAACUGCCCACAGACUAAAUUCUUAUUCAGUAAUUCAUGUAUUAAAAAGAACCCAUAACAUGAAAUGAUUCUUUAGGUAAGAUGAGAUGCAUGAAGGAUAUUGUUUAAAUAUGUCAUUUCUAGAAAGUGGUCUGUGACAUGUCUCAAUAUUUGCUGCAUAUUUAGAAAGCAUUCUCAGUUUUAUAUAGGACUAACUCAGAAGUUAUAUUUUAUAGAGUUAAUUUUUUAUGAUUCAGAAGUUAUUUAGGAGAAAUAGAAUAUAAGAAUAAGACUUGUAGGGUUUUAGAAUAUAUUUUCAAUUAAAAGGAAUCUUACUCUUGCAGGUAAACAAGAAGCUUCUGGUGUGCUAGUUUCUUGAGACUGCUCUCAUGCAUGUCAUAAAAUUACUCAGACUUUUCUUUCUACUUUAGAAACCUAAAGCAUACUCUAUGUCUCCAGCCCAAACCAGCUUUCUCCAUUUAUGUUUAUAAUAGUGUCAUUCCCCAGGUCACCCAGCCUUAAAAAAUACAGAAAGUCAUGGCUUUCCCCUUUCCUCUUCUCUACUUGUAUGCACUCUCUUUACUUUCAAAACCACGUCUCUGCAUCUCUUCUGCACCCACCCAACUCAAUGUUCUCAUAACCUGCAAUAUUGCAAGUCUACUAGCUGUAGUCUCAAUUCAAGAACCCCUUUCUAAAUCUCCACUGAAACUUACCAAUUUCAUCUUUGUCAGCAUUUUAUAUGAUACUUCUAUAUCAUUAGCAACUUUCUAAGACUACAGAAUGAAGUCUAAAUGCUUCACAUACAAGACCCACCAUAAACAAUCUGAUCUCUUCAAGAAAAGUUAACUUCUAUGUUUAGAAAAGGAAAAAGAUGGUUUAGAACUGAAAAUCAGCACUCUGGCCUCAUAAUCAGCCCUUAAGGCAUGCGGAUCCAGCUGAAAUGUCCAUGAGAGUAUUUCAGGCAUGGAAAGCCAAGACACUCUGGCCAAAAAAAAAAAAAAAACUAAAUGAAAGAUCUCCACGAGUGAGAUCCCAGUGGAAAGAAUGGGUCAUCAAAGAAGGAGGUACCUUUCUCUGAAGGGAGGAGAGAACUUCCACUUUGACCAUGGCCUUGUCUAAAUAUGAUCAGAGUCAGUGAACUCAGGGGGCUUCCAUAGCCUUGGCAGCUCAUGACAAGAGCCUAGGUUGAUUGCUGAUGCCAUAAACAAGAGUGUCAAUUUGUUAAGUCAACAACAGGAGUCACUGUGCACUUACUCCUCAUGUAGGAUCUUUGUCCUUAGUGUGCUGUACAUUGAGAUUUAAUGCUAUAACUAGUACUCAAACAGUAUUUUUCACUUUAUGUUUCUGUGUGGGAGCAAACUGUUGAAAUCUUUACUUCAUGUAUGCUAAACUGAUCUUCUGUAUAUAAAGAGAAUCGAAAAUGAAUCUUGAUAUGAAUGGAAGGGGAGAGGGAGUGGAUAAGGGGAGGAUUGCGGGUUGGAGGGACGUUAUGGGGGGGAAGCCAUUGUAAUCCAUAUUCUGUACUUUGGAAAUUUAUAUUCAUUAAAUAAAAGUUAAAAAAAAGAAAAGGAAAAAAAUAGUUUAGAACUGAGAAAUCUAGAGAACUUUUGAUACUUAGUAUAGAUUAUUUCUUAUUUAAUCUGUCAACAGGUGUGUUUAAAGAUUAUCUUAUUUUGCAGUCAAACAAAAAUUAAGAAUACAACUAUGGAAAAGGACUUUUAGAGCAAAUAUAUUGAGGAAGGGAAUACAAGCAUACUUCAAAAGGUUAAUGGAGAACUUAAAAGAUAAGUUUAUUUUGGUGCAAAAAAUGUUAUCCAUGCACUUUUUCCCCCACAAUAUACAUUUUUCAUGAAAUUUUGAAGACCUCUCAUGAACAUCGAUUUCAAAAUUUUUGUACCAAAAGAAACAUCCUUUAUACUCCUUUUCCAUGAACUUUUUGAAGUAACCUCCUAUGAAUGGCAGAAAGCAAAAGGAUCUGGGUUCCUUUUUUGAGUGAGCCCAGGGUCUCCUAGAAAAUAACAAAGGUGGGGAACAUCUGACCACAAAAUUAUUUGUUCUGACCUGCCUAGGCAACUUUAGGCAGGACUCAAAAUUCAAUGAAUCUAUAGCAGGCUAAUUUUUAAGCUGAUAAUUCUGUAUGGCCUGCAAAUGAUGUUAUAAAUAUCCAAAUGGCCCUUAGCAGAAAAGUUUUCCCACUCCUACAAAGCACAAGAUAGAAACAUCUAGAAUGAGAGCAUUUGGUGUCAGGCUCAGACUAGACAUAAAGGAAGACUUUAAUGUGCUUGUGCAUUAAGGCCUAAGAGAAAAGACUUAUAGAAUAAAGACUUACUAUGAUCCUUUAAAAAUCUAUCAAAUUUAUUUGAAAUCUAUUCUCAGAAUUACUGCAUGUGAGACUUUAUGGAAGCUGAAAAUAGAUAAUGAUACUUAAUGUCAUCAAAUAGAAUUGGUGACUCAAUCCAACUACUUGAAACAAAGUAAAAUAUGGUAUAGAUCUUACAAAUGACUGCCCAGGUCCAAAUCCUGGUUAUGCCCUUAUUCGCUGUAUAUCCUUAAGCAAGUUACUUUAUUUUUCCUGUGUUUCAGUUUCCUUAACUACAAAAUAUAGACAAUAAUACAAUAUUGUACGGUGCUUGAAAAGGCACCAAGUACAUAUUUGAGUACUUGUUCACAAACCUGUACAGUGAGCAGUAUUAUACCUGUUUGAAAAGAUAACAAAUCUAUGCCAUAGAGAGAUUGGGACUUGCUAAAAGUAACACUGCUGCUAAGUGCUAUAAACCUGUGCAACUCUAAAACCUUUACUCUUUCUCCACACUGCCUUAUUGCUAUGUAUUGCUGAAAAUGAAAGAAUAGAUAGGACAUAGGAUCUACCUUCAAGGACAACACUAUAAUACAGAAAAAAGCAAGACACGGAUGAACAAUUCUGCAUAAGUGUUCAAGUUACAAUGGUAUUGUGGAAUGUAAUCUUGCCUUGAAGGGAUAGAGAUGACUUCUACAGAAAUUUACAGCUAAACCAUAUCUUGAAGUGUGAGUAGAAAUUAGGUCACUAGCUGCGGUUGGGUAGAAAGCACUCUAAACAGAGGGGAAACAGCAGGGAAAUGAGUGGAGAGGAUGCUGAACACACCAAGGUGCAAAGGCCGUGAAAGGGCACAGAAUUCUGGUGCUUGCAAUAGGCCAGCUCUGCUAGAAUAUGGAAUGUGGAGUAGGGAUGAGGCCUGAUUUUAAAAGGACAAAGUCAGUGUGGUUCUGUUCUACCAGCUGUGGAACUACAAAUCAAGCAGUAGAGGCAACACUACCUGCAACAAUCAGUAUGCUUAUUGGAUAUAUAGGCUGGUGCUUACUGGUAUUGAAUCAUGGGUUAAAGUCCUUUUAAAUACAAUAUAUGCCUCAGACCUAAGGUGAUCAGAUCUGUCUAUAGGUGGUAUAUACUUUCCAAGGAAAAUAACCUCUUAACAAUUGAAAAAAAUAUCUCUUACUUCCCACUUCCAGGUAUUCUUUCUUAAGGAAACUUAUGUAUGUUAAAAUUGCAUGUUUAAAUUUCUUUGUUUCUAAUGGUAAAGCAUCUUUAGUACUUAUUGUGUGAAAAAUAUAUUUUUAGUGCUUUAUUCUAACAGUUCCCAUGGUAGUAGACUAGUAUCCUAGAGAUGGGCUACAGAGAAGUGUUGGUAUAAGAAGCACUUUAAACUCCAUUCCUUUUUUAAAAAUUUUAUUUAAGUUAUAUAAGUUUCGUGUAUGUUGUAUAUACAUAAUUAGGAACGCAGUGAGACUUCCAACCCUACCCUCCCUCCCAUGCAUGAUCCAACCCUUCUUUUUCCUCCCUCUCCCAUUCCUAAAUUUUUACAAAGAUCUACUUUCAGUUUACUUCAUGAUCAUAAAGUUAACCUUAUACUAAGAAAAAGAGAUCAACAAAUGGUAUGAAGAAAAAAAAAAAGACACUGUUCCUCAACAGAAAAGACAAUGGCUAUAAACAUCAUCAAAUCUAAAAUGUCCAUUUCACUCCAAUACAUUACAUUUCAUGUACUCUAUUAGUUACCUUGGACCAAGGAAAACUAUCAGUCUUUUGGGGACUGGCUUAUUUAACUAAGUAUAAUGGCUUAGUUGCAUCUAUUUUGUUGUAAAAGAUAGGAUUUCAUUUUUUUUUUUUUUUACAGCUGAGUAUAUAUGCACUGCUCCAUAGUGUAGAUAGACCAUAAUUUCUUUGUCAGUAGACAUAAACUCCAUUAUUUAAAAUAGAUUUCUUAUCAGUGGGAUUCAAUAGUCAGUACAAGUUUACUAUUAAAAGGGUUAUUAAGAAGUAAUAAAAAUAUAAGCCUAGUAGGGCACCUUAACAAAUUUCAGCAUAAUAUGUUUUAACUCUUAAAGAUAACUUCAUACAUGGUAAAAGUACUUCAUUUAAUGCCUUCUUGUAUAGUUUGUGGUAAAGUUAUCUGCAUGAUCCCAGUAUGUUGAAAAACUACAUAUUUUAACAAUAUUAAAAUCUGAGACUGUUAAAACUCCUGGGAUGUAAUAAUCUUUUACCGAUGAAGUAUGUAGUAAGAGUCAGGUGCUUGGUAAGCACUAGGAAGACAUAGCUGUGACCAGGAAAAAAAUUUAUAUGGAUUAAAAACAUAAAAUAACAGGGCUGGUAUUGUGGCACAAUGAGGGAACUACCUGAGAUGCUGGCAUUCCGUAUGAGCACCAGUGUAAGUCCCAGCUGCUCUGUUUCUGGUCCAGCUUCCUGACAAUGUAUCUGGAAAGACAAUGAACACAUUUGUGGAGUGAACCAGAGGAUGGAAGAUCUCUUUUCUCUCUGUCUCGCCCUCUCUGCCACUCUGCCUUUCAAAUAAAUAAUAAUCUUUUUUUCUUAAAAAAGAUAGAGUGAAACCUCUCUGUCAACCCUUAAAAACAUAAAAUAACCAUGAUGUAAUAUGAUAUUUAGUAAAAUAGAAGUAUGUAUCAAAUACUUAUAGACUUGAGAAUCAAGAGAAGACAUUCCUAACUUGGAGGAAAAAAAAAAAAAACCUGAUAAUUAAGCAAUUCGGUACAAAUUUUUUUACCCAGUAACCAGACUUGGGAAGGUUGAGUCAUUUAUAUAGAUCAGAAAAACAUCUGAUUAGCAUUAACUUGCCUAGUGUUUGAUCCUAAUUCAAAUGAUAAUACUGAAAUUAUUAGUAGUUCUCUUAUCUUUUAAAACAACUUGGCCUCCCUUAGAAGCAUUUUAAAAAGCAAAUUAUGCAACAUUCACCUGGGAAACUAGAAAAGUUUCCUUAGCUUAUAUACUAUCUUUCAGUCAAGUCACUAUCUAAAGUAUGACGGCAUUCCUGUGAGCACUUACUGUGGCUUAUAUAAUUUUUUUCAAUUAAGAUUCUUCUGAGGGGCUGGCACUGUGGCUCAGCAAGUUAAAGCCACGGCCUGCAGCACUGGGAUCCCAUAUGGCUGCCAGUUCAAGCCCCAGCUGCACCACUUCCAUACAGCUCCCCACUAAUAUGCCUGGGAAAGCAAUGGGAUAUGGAACAAGUGUUUGGGCCCCUGCCACUUACAUGGGGGACCCAGAAGAAACUCCUGGUUCCUGAUUUGGCCUGGCCCAGCCUAGCUGUUGUUGUGAUCUGUGGCAUGAACCAGCAGAUGGAACUCUCUCUGUCUCUGUCUCUUUCUUUCUCUCUGUAAAUCUGCCUUUCAGAUAAAUAAGUAAAUCUUCAAAUAUUCUUUUGAGACUUGAAAAUGUACAAAACAUUUCUUACAAACUGUGAAGAGUUUUUUUUUUUGGUUGCUUUUAUUUUUUUUGUUGUUGUUGAUGAUAUUUUCCCCAAAGAAACAUUUUAUUUAAUGAGUACAAAUUUAAUAAGUACAACUUUAGGAAUAUAGUGAUUCUUCCAACCAUACUUGCCCUCCCACCCCACUUCCUCCACCCUCUCCCAUUCCAAAUCCCAUUAUCCAUUCAGAAAACAAAAACAAAACAAAAAACAAUUGUUCCUCAACAGUCAAGACAAGAGCCGCUCAAGUCAUUGCUUCUCAAAGUGUCAAUUUCAUUUCUACAGAUUACCUUUUAGGUGCUCUAUUAAUUAUCACAGAUAAGGGAGAAUGGUAUUUGUCCCUUUGGGACUGGCUUAUUUCACUAAGUAUGGGGUAUUUUCCAGAUUCAUCCACUUUAUUGCAAAUGAUUAGAUUUCUUUUUUUUUUACCACUGUGUAGUAUUCCAUAGAGAACAUAUCCCAUAAUUUAUGUAUCCAGUCUUCAGUUGACAGGCAUUUUGGUUGAUUCCAUGUCUUAGUUAUUGUGAAUUGAGCUGCAAUAAGUAUAGGGGUAUAGAUAACUCUUUUAUUUGCUGGUUUCACUUCCUGUGGGUAAAUUUUCAGAAAUGGUUUUGGUUGGGUCAUAUGGUAGGUCUAUAUUCAGAUUUCUGAGGUAUCUCCAAACUGAUUUCCAUAUUGGUUUUACCAGUUUACCUUCCCACCAACAAUGGAGUGGGGAACCUUUUUCCUCACAUCCUAGCCAGCAUUUGCGGUUUGUUGAUUUCUAUAUGAAAGCCAUUCUAACUGGUAUAAGGUGGAACCCUGUUGUGGUUUUGAUUUCAAUUUCCCUGAUGGCUAGUGAGGCUAGUGAUCCUGAACACUUUUUCAUGUGCCUGCUGGCCAUUUGUAUUUCCUCUUUUGAAAAACAUCUGUUUAAGUCCUUGGCCCAUCUCUUAAUUUGGUUGUUUGUUUUGUUGCUGUGGAGUUUCUUGCUCUCUUUAUGUAUUCUGAUUAUUAAUCCUUUAUCAGUUGCAUUGUUUGCAAAUAAUUUCUCCCAUUCUGUUCAUUGACUCUUCCCUUUCCUGAGUGUUUCUUUUGUAGUACAGAAGUUUCUCAGUUUGAUGUAAUACCAUUUGUUAAUUUUGGCUUUGAUUGUACCUCCAGGGUCUUUUCUAAGAAAUCUUUGCCUAUGCCAAUGGGUUCCCCAAUGUUCUCUGGUAUCAGGUUAUAGAUUUAGGUCUUUAAUCCAUUUUGAAUGGAUUUUGGUAUAAGGUGUAAGGUAAGGGUCCUGCUUCAUAUUUCUGCAUGUGGAAAUCCAGUUUCCCAGUACUAUUUGUUGAAGAGACUGUCCUUGAUUCAGGAAUUGGUUUUAGCUCCUUGGUCAAAUAUGAAUUGGUUGUAGAUGCUUGGAUUUAUUUCUGGUGUUUCUAUUCUGUUCCCUUGGAAUAGCCAUCAGUUUUUUUACCGGUACCAGGCUGUUUUAACUGCCUUGUAGUAUUUCUCUUGAAAUCUGGAAUUGUGAUGACUCCAGCUUUGUUUUUGUUGUAUAAGAUUGCUUUAGAUAUUCGAGGUCUUCUGUGUUUCCAUGUGAAUUUCAGCAUCAUUUUUUUUAACUGAGAAGAAUGUCUUUGGUAUUUUGAUUGGCAUCACAUUGAAUCUGUAAAUUGCUUUUGGAAGAUGGAUAUUUUGAU
Molecule: non-coding RNA, 10493 nt
Organism: Oryctolagus cuniculus (rabbit)
Lineage: Eukaryota; Metazoa; Chordata; Mammalia; Lagomorpha; Leporidae
Source: RefSeq, a predicted model, not a curated record